Molecule: long non-coding RNA, 409 nt
Filed under: Salmo salar (Atlantic salmon)
Lineage: Eukaryota; Metazoa; Chordata; Actinopteri; Salmoniformes; Salmonidae
Description: lncRNA (ENSSSAG00000099023.1)
Source: RNAcentral
UGAAGAUGAGGAGGUUUAUCAGGAUGUGUUCAAAUGAACCAGGGUGGUGCGACGUUAAAGAGGUUUAUCAGUAUGUGGAUGUGAAGAUGAGGAUGUUUAUCAGGAUGUGGCUGUGAAGAUGAGGUUAUUCAGGAUGUGGCUGUGAAGUAGAGGAGGUUAAACAGGAUGUGGCUGUGAAGGUGAGGACGUUUAUCAGGAUGUGGCUGUGAAGAUGAGGAGGUUUAACAGGAUGUGGCUGUGAAGAUGAGGUCGCUUAACAGGAUGUGGCUGUGAAGGUGAGGACCUUUUAUCAGGAUGUGGCUGUGAAGAUGAGGAGGUUUAUCAGGAUGUGGCUGUGAAGAUGAGGAGGUUUAUCAGGAUGUGGCUGUGAAGAUGAGGAGGUUUAUCAGGAUGUGGCUGUGAAGGUGAG